RNAcentral lists this ribosomal RNA (250 nucleotides) under uncultured prokaryote. RNAcentral describes it as "partial 16S ribosomal RNA". It matches the Rfam family "Bacterial small subunit ribosomal RNA", at positions 524 to 774 of the family's 1533-position model. The record is from RNAcentral.
UACGUAGGGGGCAAGCGUUGUCCGGAAUUAUUGGGCGUAAAGCGCGCGCAGGCGGUUAUUUAAGUCUGGUGUUUAAACCUUGGGCUCAACCUGGGGUCGCACUGGAAACUGGGUAACUUGAGUACAGAAGAGGAAAGUGGAAUUCCACGUGUAGCGGUGAAAUGCGUAGAGAUGUGGAGGAACACCAGUGGCGAAGGCGACUUUCUGGGCUGUAACUGACGCUGAGGCGCGAAAGCGUGGGGAGCAAACA